This 164-nucleotide ribosomal RNA is filed under the name Iris minutoaurea. RNAcentral's name for it is "5.8S ribosomal RNA". It matches the Rfam family "5.8S ribosomal RNA". Rfam says of the family: 5.8S ribosomal RNA (5.8S rRNA) is a component of the large subunit of the eukaryotic ribosome. The record is from RNAcentral. Lineage: Eukaryota; Viridiplantae; Streptophyta; Magnoliopsida; Asparagales; Iridaceae.
UAUACGACUCUCGGCAACGGAUAUCUAGGCUCUUGCAUCGAUGAAGAACGUAGCAAAAUGCGAUACUUGGUGUGAAUUGCAGAAUCCCGUGAACCAUCGAGUCUUUGAACACAAGUUGCGCCCGAGGCAUUCUGGCCGAGGGCACGCCUGCCUGGGUGUCACGC